GCUCAGCCGGCUUUUAUUUAUUCCCACCCUAAUUAUGGACUUCAAAAUUAUGAUAAUAACUUGAACUGCACCUGGACUGUAACGUCAGUGAAUUCUAGAAUGAUCCGUAUUACAUUUCAGACCUCGGAUUUGGAACAAGAACAGGACUGCUUAUACGAUUAUGUGGAAAUUCGGGAUGAGGAAAACAACUUACUUUUGAAACAUUGUGGCCAUAAGAUUCCACCCGCAUUUGUGUUUCCUAGAAAUCAUCUUUCCAUCCAUUUCCGUACUGAUGAUACAAUAACAAAAAGAGGCUUCGUUUUAUCUUAUUCAGAGAACAAUUUCUGAUCAGAAUGCAAUAAUUUUACAGCAAAUACACUUUUGUCGUGACAGGAAAGGAUCGAAAGUGCCCAUUCGAAAAUGGGUUGUAAGGACUUUUAUGAUUGUAUAAUGUAAGCAAUAAAUGUUGCGGAUU
Long non-coding RNA from Stegodyphus dumicola, 454 nucleotides. NCBI's taxonomy places the organism in Eukaryota, Metazoa, Arthropoda, Arachnida, Araneae, Eresidae. The record is from RefSeq and is a predicted model, not a curated record.